CACCCUCCGCACUGAUCUUUUGGCUAAAAUAAAUACAAGGUCAAAAAGAAGAUAACAAGAAAAACGUUGAGAAAUACUUUUAAAAAAAAAAGCGUACACGAAGUGUAAUUGUAGCAUUUAAUUUGAAUCAGUCAUAUAAUUUAAUUUGUUAUUGAUCCUAAUCUAGACCAAUAUCAAUAAGUCAUUGUGAUUAGAAAUAUUUUUACCAAAUUUCAUGCUUUUAGCUUAAAUCAAUAUGCAAUGAUCCAAUCAAAUAUCUGGACUAGUUGGGCCAAAGGGGAGGGGGUUAAAGAAAGAAAGGGAGAUCUGGGUGAAGUUUACAGCAAUCGCUUUUUAAAAGCAUUUAUUAAAAAAGGGGGAAACAACCUGAAUUCAAACUCAUGCUUCAAGCCGACAUAUUAGCCAGUCUGCUAGUGAGGCGCUUAUGAAAAUAGAAUAUUGUAUAUGUAUCUAUUUUUUGAGAUAACAAACAAAACAAUAAAUACCAAUAGUUAAUAAACUAAUUGGUUGUUUUUUUUUUAAAUUGAUUCUUGUGCUGUCAGAUAAAAGAAAGAAUGGUGCAAAAUGUCAGCUUGCUUCGAGAUCGGGUGUCGGAGAAAUAACGUGUAUUUUUUUUUCCAGAUAUACAUAUAGAGUGAGUUGGUAUAAGUUUUGUAAACAUUACUUCAAAACAUAGAUAUUUAGACCUAAGUAAAAUGUUAUUCUUAAAAGUAAAAGACACAUACUCUUGAGGCUCGUUUGAAUUAAGUAAUACAGAAAUUAGUAAUUUGUUACUCUGGAAAUAGUGUUUGCAUAAAGUUAAGUUGUUGUUUUUUUUAGUUAAAAAAUAUUUUGUAAAUAUAUUCAAUAAGCAUUGCCGAGGAAGCCCUAUAACUUCUUAUAAGUAGAAGCAUAUUGACAGUAGCCCUAGUGUACUUUAAGUGUAAACUAUAAUAAGUUAGUUAACAUCUUCUUAAUAGGCAGUUUCUUUAGUUGAAUCAUGUACAUAUUUGAAAAUAAAAAGUGUUGUACAACAAUUAUUAAAAUCUUUUUUUUUUAGUUCUAAAAAUACCGCUUUGUAUUCUCCUUUUAAAACAUACCGUGUGAACUACUAGGUUAACAGUUAAUAAAGGUGUCAUGCUGUCAACACAACGACCCAUCGCGACAUAUGAUGCAAUAAGAUUAUGUUAGUGAGUGCUUAUAAUUAAUAGUGAGAAGCUAAUGUUAAAAAGAGUAAAAAAAAAAAAGAUUAGCACAGUUAAUGUUUCAAUUAGUUUGAUUUACGCACCGGUUCUACUGUAGUUUCAGGGAC
Molecule: non-coding RNA, 1291 nt
Organism: Biomphalaria pfeifferi
Lineage: Eukaryota; Metazoa; Mollusca; Gastropoda; Planorbidae
Source: the annotation of a GenBank genome assembly